Non-coding RNA from Pelobates cultripes (western spadefoot toad), 207 nucleotides. The record is from the annotation of a GenBank genome assembly. Lineage: Eukaryota; Metazoa; Chordata; Amphibia; Anura; Pelobatidae.
ACCUUACUGGCCUUAGCCACUGCUGAUUGACAUUGCACAUUGUUGCAUAGUUUGUUGUUUAUAACAAUCCCCAAGUCCUUUUCGUGUGUUGUUAUCCCUAAUUCGCUUCCAUUAUAGGUAUACGUUGCUUGUGCAUUCUUUACGCCGAAGUGCAUAACUUUGCAUUUUUCAACAUUAAAUGUAAUCUGCCAUUUGAGUGUCCUGUCC